Molecule: unclassified non-coding RNA, 382 nt
Filed under: Melitaea cinxia (Glanville fritillary)
Lineage: Eukaryota; Metazoa; Arthropoda; Insecta; Lepidoptera; Nymphalidae
Description: misc RNA ENSMCXG00005009059.1
Source: RNAcentral
UCUUUUUUUUAUGUAUGUUACAUCAGAACUUUUGACCGGGUGGACCGAUUUUGACAAAUUUUGUUUUAAUCGAAAGGUGGUGUGUGCCAAUCGGUCCCAUUUAAAUUUAUUUGAGAUCUAACAACUACUUUUCGAGCUAUAUCUAAUAAUUUGUUGUAUUACACCGCAUAACUUUCUACUGGAUGUACCGAUUUUGAUAAUUCUUUUUUUGUUUGAAAGGGGAUAUCCCUAGUUUGGUACCGUGAUAAGGAAACCACGAUCUGAUGAUGGGAUCCCAGAGAAAUCGAGGGAAACUCUCGAAAAUCCGUAAUAACUUUUUACUGGGUGUACCGAUUUUGAUAAUUUUUAAUUUAAUCGAAAGCUGAUGUUUAUCAUGUGGUCG